GUAGGGAAUAUUGGGCAAUGGACGCAAGUCUGAUCCAGCCAUGCCGCGUGAAGGAUUAAGGUCCUCUGGAUUGUAAACUUCUUUUAUAAGGGACGAAAAAAGGCUUUUCUAAGUCGUCUGACGGUACCUUAUGAAUAAGCACCGGCUAACUCCGUGCCAGCAGCCGCGGUAAUACGGAGGGUGCAAGCGUUAUCCGGAUUCACUGGGUUUAAAGGGUGCGUAGGCGGGCAGGUAAGUCAGUGGUGAAAUCCUAGAGCUUAACUCUAGAACUGCCAUUGAUACUAUCUGUCUUGAAUAUUGUGGAGGUAAGCGGAAUAUGUCAUGUAGCGGUGAAAUGCUUAGAUAUGACAUAGAACACCUAUUGCGAAGGCAGCUUACUACGCAUAUAUUGACGCUGAGGCACGAAAGCGUGGGGAUCAAACAGGAUUAGAAACCCGGGUAGUCC
This 445-nucleotide ribosomal RNA is filed under the name uncultured bacterium. Its description in RNAcentral is "partial 16S ribosomal RNA". It matches the Rfam family "Bacterial small subunit ribosomal RNA", at positions 354 to 796 of the family's 1533-position model. The record is from RNAcentral.